RNAcentral lists this long non-coding RNA (251 nucleotides) under Mytilus galloprovincialis (Mediterranean mussel). Lineage: Eukaryota; Metazoa; Mollusca; Bivalvia; Mytilida; Mytilidae. The record is from RNAcentral.
GGAGGGGGCUAGAGGGGGUCUCAUCCCGAUUUCCCGGUUUUAAUAUCAGAAAAUCCCGAAAUCCCGGACAUAUUUUGUUAAAAAUCCCGAUCCCGAUAAACAAGUAAUCACCAUUUAUUUAUUAAAGAGGUCCUCCACUAUUUUAGGUAACGAAUAGACACAUCUGACACAUCUUUUAAAGGAGGCCGUCCUGGUAAACUUUGAAAAUUAAACCCUCUGAGUAAUGUUGUUCUUAAUUAUUUGCUUUCCUG